This is an unclassified non-coding RNA of 293 nucleotides. The stretch from base 1 to 46 matches the Rfam family "Eukaryotic small subunit ribosomal RNA", at positions 1786 to 1831 of the family's 1831-position model.
AAGUCGUAACAAGGUUUCCGUAGGUGAACCUGCGGAAGGAUCAUUAAUGAAUCUUGAAAAGGGUUGUAGCUGGCCUCCUUGUUUGAGGGGGCAUUUUGUGCACAUCCUGAUCAUCAUCCAUGUCUCACACCUGUGCACAUCAUGUAGGACUGGCCUUAAAUUGGAGUGGAGUCUUUCUUGAUUCUGUUCUGUGGCUUUUCCUAUGUUUUAUAUCACAAACUACUGUCCAAAAGAAUGUCAAUCGCGUUUAACGCAUGUAUAUACAACUUUCAGCAACGGAUCUCUUGGCUCUC